RNAcentral lists this ribosomal RNA (510 nucleotides) under uncultured bacterium. Its description in RNAcentral is "bacterial SSU rRNA". It matches the Rfam family "Bacterial small subunit ribosomal RNA", at positions 29 to 523 of the family's 1533-position model. The record is from RNAcentral.
AGUGAACGCUGGCGGCGUGCCUAACACAUGCAAGUCGAGCGAAGUGGCAGCUGUAGCAAUACAGUAUGUGCUUAGCGGCAGACGGGUGAGUAAUACGUAAAUAACCUUCCUUUUAGAGGGGGAUAGCUAGCCGAAAGGUUAGGUAAUACCCCGUACGAUUCGUUAGAGGUAUCUUUAAUGAAUGAAACAUCCGCAAGGAUGGCUGAAAGAUGGGGUUUGCGGCCUAUCAGCUAGUUGGUGAGGUAAUGGCUCACCAAGGCUACGACGGGUAACCGGCCUGAAAGGGCGACCGGUCACACUGACACUGAGACACGGGUCAGACACCUACGGGUGGCAGCAGUGAGGAAUCUUGGACAAUGGGGGAAACCCUGAUCCAGCGACGCCGCGUGAAGGAUGAAGGUCUUCGGAUUGUAAACUUCUUUUCUUUGGGACUAAGAAAUCUAUAGAAAUAUAGGGAGCGAAUGUACAGAGGAAUAGCCACGGCUAACUUCGUGCCAGCCGCCGCAGUAA